This is a long non-coding RNA of Oreochromis aureus, 735 nucleotides long. Lineage: Eukaryota; Metazoa; Chordata; Actinopteri; Cichliformes; Cichlidae. The record is from Ensembl.
GGGAGAGACAAGCAAGUUUCUAGGUCAGUCAAGCAGCCUGGGAGCUGCUAAAUUUGAAUCCACCAAUCAGAGAGGCUGUGUACUUUUUCCCGCCAAAACAGGUGCAGCCGUUUUUACACACACAGAGCACAGAGACAGGAUUUCUGCAGUGUAUUUCUCAUAGUGAGGAUUCCUCUCAAACAAAUGGCCAUAAUUUCCUAACCGUAGGGGCUAGAACAGUCAUUCUUACACCGUUUUGUUCAGAAGAGAUGGGGGAAUCUCAAAGUGUUGACAAUUUAUCAUUAAAAUAUGAAUUAUUAAAGAUAUUUGACUUCUAAUGCACCAUAACUGAGUAGAGCAAAGCAAAAACUGCCUUGACUUGCCCUCAAACAACGCUUUCUAACUCUAAAUCUAUUUGGAGUAUCAAUAUCAUUCUUUCACCGUAAGAGACAGCAGGCUUUGGUGAACAAUCAUGGAAAUUUUCAGGUCUCUGUGGAAAUCCAUUAAAAAGAUAUGACGAGAGAAAAAAGUGGUUCAUUUCCAGAGUUUGAAAUCUGAAGAAAUCUGAGCGAAGGACGAAUUUCCUACCCUCAAACAAGUCUAACUCAUUUCAGAACGGUAAUAGGUGAGAAAGAAAUUCUUGAAUUGUGAGCGUCAGGAGUGUCUGAAGAUAUACUGGGACAAGCCUCAUGUUUUAACUUCGCUUCGUUAAGGAGAUAUGACGAUUCGAAUAUGCCUCUCAUUGCAGAAAUCAAG